Molecule: long non-coding RNA, 446 nt
Organism: Pygocentrus nattereri (red-bellied piranha)
Lineage: Eukaryota; Metazoa; Chordata; Actinopteri; Characiformes; Serrasalmidae
Exons: 3
Source: RefSeq, a predicted model, not a curated record
CACAAGGUCCUCUACGACUUGGGAAAGCACAGACACCACUGCGUUGUUCCCAAUGCGCGCCAGGGCCAUAGACGCUGCAGAGAGAAUGAAGUCUCCAGCCAGGAUAGCCUUGAGACAACAGAAAAGGUGCUCUGGUGUAAAAUACUUACUUUCCUCUCCCCCCACACUUCAUUGAUGGUGGUUUUUCCUCGUCUUGUAUCUGAACCAUCAAUAACGUCGUCAUGCACCAAGCUGGCAGUGUGGAUCAUCUCUGAGAUCAUGGCAAUGGACCGCUGCGCUGGGAGGAGGUCACUGUCAGGAGAAAAAGGCUCUGGCCAUCAGCACCACGAUCAUCGGCCGGAACGCCUUCCCCUUCCCGUCGAAGUAAUAAUCACACAGGGCUUUCAGCUCCGCUUUGGACACCAGUAGCUGAAAAAAGCCAACUGUUUGAAUCACUUAUGAAGAGG